CAAAGAGUAGUUAAAUUUCUAGAAUCCUAGCUUUGGGAGCUAGAGGUGGGAGUUAGAAUCUCCUCUCUUUGA
Molecule: transfer RNA, 72 nt
Filed under: Eucyclogobius newberryi (tidewater goby)
Lineage: Eukaryota; Metazoa; Chordata; Actinopteri; Gobiiformes; Gobiidae
Description: tRNA-Pro
Rfam family: tRNA
About the family: Transfer RNA (tRNA) molecules are approximately 80 nucleotides in length. Their secondary structure includes four short double-helical elements and three loops (D, anti-codon, and T loops).
Source: RNAcentral